RNAcentral lists this long non-coding RNA (782 nucleotides) under Nicotiana tabacum (common tobacco). RNAcentral's name for it is "long non-coding RNA (NTAB_LNC010128)". Lineage: Eukaryota; Viridiplantae; Streptophyta; Magnoliopsida; Solanales; Solanaceae. The record is from RNAcentral.
GCAUGGAAAAGCUCAGUUUAGGGUUUAAAACCCUAAUGCUGGCUGAAUGGAAAAAGUUUAGUUUAGGGUUUAAAACUUUAAUGCUGACUAAAAGGAAAAAUUCAGUUUAGGGUUUAAAACCCUAAUGCUGAUUGCAUGGAAAAGUUCAGUUUAGGGUUUAAAACCCUAAUGUUGGCUGAUUGGAAAAAGUUCAGUUUAGGGUUUAAAACCCUAAUGUUGAUUAAAGGAAAAAGUUCAGUUUAGGGUUUAAAACCCUAAUGCUGAUUGAUUGGAAAAGUUCAGUUUAGGGUUUAAAACCCUAAUGUUGACUGCAUGGGAAAGCUCAAUUUAGGGUUUAAAACCCUAAUGCUGACUGAAAAAAGUUCAGUUUAGGGUUUAAAACCCUAAUGCUGACUGGUUGGGGGUAAAGUUCGAGAAUGCUAGCUAACCCUUUUUUUUGGAUUUUCUUGUUUUAGUAGAAGAUAAAAGGGAGUCUCGUGGAAACUUACCUUUUGAGUGAGUUCCUUAUUGCCAAGAUAUUUCUUGUACCCAUGUACCUUCUUCUUUGGGCGACACCUGCUUCUUGCACGGUUGUCUUGGAUUAUACCUGUUUCAACUUUUCAGACAAAGAACAAUUGUUAGUUUGGAAAUGACGGUCGGUUCGGUGACCUUGAUCGUUCCCAGUUGCUUUGUUGCAUACUCAUUCCUGUUGCGAAAUCCUGCCAUUGAUUUGAUUCAAAUGGCGAAACCCUUUAGACUGCUCAGGCUUGUAUUUCCCGAUUCUGUGAUGAUUUGCCUCGUAA